Molecule: ribosomal RNA, 516 nt
Filed under: Bifidobacterium bifidum
Lineage: Bacteria; Bacillati; Actinomycetota; Actinomycetes; Bifidobacteriales; Bifidobacteriaceae
Description: bacterial SSU rRNA
Rfam family: Bacterial small subunit ribosomal RNA
Source: RNAcentral
AUGCCGGAUGUUCCACAUGAUCGCAUGUGAUUGUGGGAAAGAUUCUAUCGGCGUGGGAUGGGGUCGCGUCCUAUCAGCUUGUUGGUGAGGUAACGGCUCACCAAGGCUUCGACGGGUAGCCGGCCUGAGAGGGCGACCGGCCACAUUGGGACUGAGAUACGGCCCAGACUCCUACGGGAGGCAGCAGUGGGGAAUAUUGCACAAUGGGCGCAAGCCUGAUGCAGCGACGCCGCGUGAGGGAUGGAGGCCUUCGGGUUGUAAACCUCUUUUGUUUGGGAGCAAGCCUUCGGGUGAGUGUACCUUUCGAAUAAGCGCCGGCUAACUACGUGCCAGCAGCCGCGGUAAUACGUAGGGCGCAAGCGUUAUCCGGAUUUAUUGGGCGUAAAGGGCUCGUAGGCGGCUCGUCGCGUCCGGUGUGAAAGUCCAUCGCUUAACGGUGGAUCUGCGCCGGGUACGGGCGGGCUGGAGUGCGGUAGGGGAGACUGGAAUUCCCGGUGUAACGGUGGAAUGUGUAGA